GCUUGUCUUGAUUCCAGUGUUACAAAAAAAACUCUGAUUAACCGCAACACUUAGACUUUGAUGCAAAAUGAUAAAAAUAUGUUGAAGUUCACUCGGUGUUCUGCGAUAUCACCUCACCAAACUUUAGGAACAGUUGCGCAUCGGACGAGCUCAGGGAAGCAGUGCAGGUAAGAGCGUUGGGGUGCUUGGAGUUAAUGUACUCGCCAAUAUAGCUGGGUGUUGAAGAGGGUGGUGGCAAUGCAAGCAGUUGCUGCUGCUUCGGUGGAGGGCUCGGCUGGGCGAGGCUUCCGAGCACACGGCUCACCUCAUGCAUGGUUGGCCUAUCAGAUGGUUGCUUCUUGGUGCAGAGGAGCGCGAGCUGGAAAACCUUCUUCACCGCCCCAAGAUCGUUGCAUGUGGAGGAGAUAUCGGGAUCGACUGUCUCCAUGACUGCAUUGUUUGCAGUUUUUGAUAGUAUCAGAUGAUGGAGGUUGCACUCGUUGUCAACUGCUUUCUUUCCGGUGAGAAGCUCGAGCAAAACGAUCCCAUAGCUAUAAACAUCAGAUUUCUCGUUGAGACGUGAGGUGCGAGCAUACUCGGGGUCGAUAUAUCCUAUGGUGCCCAUGACGUAUGUGGAUGUGUGGGUCUUAGAGACACAUAAGCUCUUCGCAAUACCAAAGUCGGUGAGAUGAGCCUCGAAAUCCUU
This 685-nucleotide unclassified non-coding RNA is filed under the name Hevea brasiliensis (rubber tree). The record is from RNAcentral. Lineage: Eukaryota; Viridiplantae; Streptophyta; Magnoliopsida; Malpighiales; Euphorbiaceae.